GAACUAGAAGAUUUGUGAGUUCAAGUUGGAAAGAGGAGAGACGGGGAAGAAAUGAAAAGGACAGUGUCAUCUCAGCUACAUCUACAACUCUUCUAGAACAUAAAAAAACUGGAAGCUAGCUGAGAGUUUUGCAAGAAUAUCUGAAUGGCAAAUCCACUGAGGCUCAGACUGGGACUUCAAGCGCGUGCAGUUGCAGCCUUCCUGCAGACUGUGAGAGAAGUACUGCGGAAACCUCUCUGCUUCUCCACUAGGACUAGUACAGAGGGAAUCAGCUCCCUGGCUCCUGCACAUGCAAACAUUUGAAUUUCCUGUUGGCUCAGAGUGUUUGCAUUGCAAGUGACAUCUGGCUGACAGGAACUUGGAGAAAUGGGAUACGAAGUGAAUGCUGCAGUUACCACAGCAUCAUAUUUAUCAAAAGGCUUAAGCAUUCUCAAAUGGGAGAUAAGCUGACACACAAAGUAUUUACAGCACUG
Molecule: long non-coding RNA, 473 nt
Organism: Grus americana (Whooping crane)
Lineage: Eukaryota; Metazoa; Chordata; Aves; Gruiformes; Gruidae
Exons: 6
Source: RefSeq, a predicted model, not a curated record